This is a long non-coding RNA of Schistocerca serialis cubense, 255 nucleotides long. RefSeq lists it as uncharacterized. The transcript has 2 exons. Lineage: Eukaryota; Metazoa; Arthropoda; Insecta; Orthoptera; Acrididae. The record is from RefSeq and is a predicted model, not a curated record.
AACUUCAGCUCGCUGUCUGCUCAUGUACUCAGCCACACUACAGAAUUCAUCUUCUAUUAGAAACAUUAUUAGGGUUGUGAGGAACAUCAUCUGAGGUUUUGUCCAAUAGGAGGUCUUCGGGAAUUCCCACUGAUGACCAAUGUGCUGGCUGAAAUGGUCCUUCCACAUGGUGCAGCAGUUACAGGGGCCUCCAGAAUGGACACAAAAAUGAUUUAUUAAACACAAAAAUGUAACAAAUAAAACUAUAUCAUCAGA